UGUGUAACAAUGUCCUUUGUCUCUGACCCAGGCAUCUCUUGUCUUCUUCCAGAAACCAUGACACUAUGGCAGGCCAACUUACUAGCUUUCAAGUAAGGUAACAUCUCAGACCAUCACAGGUUUUGACAGGGGAAACUCUGAAGGACCACAGGAGUUGGAGGUUCCACGUAUCUCUAAGUAGUAACAUACAAUGGGUCCAAAACAGAAGAAAGAGAACUCAAGAUUCCCGAGCCACACAGCUGUUGAUUGGAGGCUGACUCAGAGAGACCCUGGAUUCAGUGACAUACAGAGAUAACAGGUACAGGAUCAGUAUGGGUUUUAAUUGAGGGGCUCGGCACCAAAUGACAGACUUGACACAUCCACCCCCACCAUGGAUGCUGUCCGUCCACUGUUGCACAAUGUCCUUCAGUGUCUAAUUUACAGAUCCAGCUGUAUUUCCCCUUCCACCUGCAUCCCUGAAGUUCCUCCCACCUGAAAACUUCACCUGACCCAAGAAAGCAAAGGAAAAAACCCGGAGAGCCAGCUCAUGGUCUGGUUCACUGUUUAACAGCCAGAAGCCAGAGCCUGCGUACUAGAAGUGGAUGCCCAGGAAGUACUUGUGAGCUGACUAAGAAUGUAAGAACGCCACCCACUUCAUUCAGGAAAGUGAGGCAGGAUUCCAUGCAGUGUGAAUGACUGCACAUGGAACAAGCAGGUUAUCAUUUAUAUUCAGCAAGGGACCUCCAUGGACAGGACAUUUGGGGAGCUGCUAUCAAACAUCAGAACUUCUGACACUGUGCACACAGUCUUAUAUUGUGCCUUGUCUGUGGUGAUGUCUCACUACAGUAAUGAUUAAGAUGAUGAGCACUUAUGCGUUGAUAUUGCAAUAUGUCUGCGUAAGAACUAUCGCUAAGGCAGGUUAUAUUAUUACCCUCAGUGUAUAGGUAAGGAGGUUAGACUGAUAACUUACCCAGUGUCACAUAGGUAGUAA
This 970-nucleotide non-coding RNA is filed under the name Pan troglodytes (chimpanzee). Lineage: Eukaryota; Metazoa; Chordata; Mammalia; Primates; Hominidae. The record is from RNAcentral.